This 1172-nucleotide long non-coding RNA is filed under the name Callithrix jacchus (white-tufted-ear marmoset). RNAcentral's name for it is "lncRNA (ENSCJAG00000080230.1)". Lineage: Eukaryota; Metazoa; Chordata; Mammalia; Primates; Cebidae. The record is from RNAcentral.
GUGUUUGCUGUUGUGAAUAGUACUGCAAUGAACAUGUGGGUACAUAUGUCUUUAUGACAGAAUGAUUUAUAUUCCUUUAGGUAUAUAUCCUGUAAUGCAAUUACUCAGUUGAAUGAUAUUUCCGCCUUUAGGUCUUGGAGGAAUUACCACCCUAUCUUUCACAAUGGUGGAACUAAUUUAUACUCCCACCAACAGUAUCUUUUCCAGGUUGGGUGUCGUGGCUCGCAUCUGAAAUUCCAGCACUUUGAGAAGCUGAGGCAGGAGGUCUUUUUGAGUCCAGGAGUUCAAACCCAGUCUGGGAAACAUGGUAAGACUCUCUACAAAAAAAUAUGGAAAACAGCUGGGAGCAGCAGUGCAUUGCUGUAGUCCCAGCUCCUCCGGAGGCUGAGGUAAGAGGAUCCCUUAAGCCUGCAGUAAGCUGUGAGCAUGCCAUUGCACUCCAGUCUGGGUGACAGAGUGAGACCCUGUUUUAAAAAGAAAAAAAUAUAUCUUUUCCCAAAAGUUAGAGGAGAAAACACUUCCUAACUCAUUCUGUAAGGCCAGCAUCAGAGCUGCACAGAAAGACACUACAAAAAAGUAAACUACAAACCCUUAUCUUUGAUGAAAACAAUCCUUAAAAAAAGGGAUUAUACACAAUGAUCAGUGAGAUUAUGUUCUUAAAUACAAGACUGAUUCAACAUACAAAAUUCCAUUGUUGUAACAACAGAUUAAGAAAUGAAUGAAUAAAAGCCACAUGAAUAUCUUAACUGUUACAAAAAUAACAUGUUAUAAAAGUCGACAUCCUUAUGAUUAAAACACUCAGCAAACUAUAACUGGAAGGAAGUUGUCUCCACAUAACAAAUUAUACAUAAAAAAUCCACAGCAAACAUCAUACUCAAUGGAGAAAGAGUGAAAAUUUUCCUUCUAAGAUCAGGACCAAGGAAAAGAUGAUCACUAGUACCACUACUCUGAAAUAGUACUCAAGUUUUAGCCAGAACAAUUAGUAAUUAAAAAUAAAAAUCAAAAGGCUCCAAAUUACAAAGGAGUAAGUAAAAUUAUCUCUGCAGAUAAGAUAAUCUGGCAUAUGCAAAAAAGCCGAGAACAAACGAAUUCAGUGAAGUAGCAGGCUGAUACAAGCCAGCACACAGAAAUCAUGCUAACAAUGAAAAUCUGAAAAGGUAAUUAUAAAAAUA